Molecule: ribosomal RNA, 497 nt
Filed under: uncultured bacterium
Lineage: Bacteria
Description: partial 16S ribosomal RNA
Rfam family: Bacterial small subunit ribosomal RNA
Source: RNAcentral
GAUGAACGCUGGCGGCGUGCCUAAUACAUGCAAGUCGAGCGAACAGACGAGGAGCUUGCUCCUCUGACGUUAGCGGCGGACGGGUGAGUAACACGUGGAUAACCUACCUAUAAGACUGGGAUAACUUCGGGAAACCGGAGCUAAUACCGGAUAAUAUGUUGAACCGCAUGGUUCAAUAGUGAAAGACGGUCUUGCUGUCACUUAUAGAUGGAUCCGCGCCGCAUUAGCUAGUUGGUAAGGUAACGGCUUACCAAGGCAACGAUGCGUAGCCGACCUGAGAGGGUGAUCGGCCACACUGGAACUGAGACACGGUCCAGACUCCUACGGGAGGCAGCAGUAGGGAAUCUUCCGCAAUGGGCGAAAGCCUGACGGAGCAACGCCGCGUGAGUGAAGAAGGUCUUCGGAUCGUAAAACUCUGUUAUUAGGGAAGAACAAAUGUGUAAGUAACUAUGCACGUCUUGACGGUACCUAAUCAGAAAGCCACGGCUAACUACGUG